Molecule: microRNA precursor, 105 nt
Filed under: Pelobates cultripes (western spadefoot toad)
Lineage: Eukaryota; Metazoa; Chordata; Amphibia; Anura; Pelobatidae
Source: RNAcentral
UAAGAACAUGUGACUCUUCACUCCGCACAGCAUUGUGGUCUGUACCAGUACCAGGUACAGACCGCAAUGCUGUGCGGAGUGAAGAGUCACAUGUCCAUGCAUGAA